This is a long non-coding RNA of Gorilla gorilla gorilla (western lowland gorilla), 262 nucleotides long. RefSeq lists it as uncharacterized. The transcript has 2 exons. The record is from RefSeq and is a predicted model, not a curated record. Lineage: Eukaryota; Metazoa; Chordata; Mammalia; Primates; Hominidae.
CAGCAUCCCUGGGGAGUGAUCUGAAGCUGGCGAGGCAAUGAGGACACCCUGGCAGGGCAGCUGAACUGGGUGGAUCCUUGUUCUGUCACCAAGCCUUUAAGUCAUAUGCUGACAUGUUACAGUCCUGCCUGGGACCCUGCCCACAAAUACUUAAGAUACACGACUUUGGGAAUCACCCAACUGAUGGAAAGAACCAGGAAAGGGGUCAGGAUCUGCACCUUGGCAAACUUUGAAGAACACCCAAUUUGAUGAAUGAAAACUC